CAGUUCAGAUUGCAGGCUGCAACUCGCCUGCAUGAAGUCGGAAUUGCUAGUAAUCGCGAAUCAGCAUGUCGCGGUGAAUACGUUCCCGGGCCUUGUACACACCGCCCGUCACACCAUGAGAGUUGGCAAUACCCAACGUACGUGAUCUAACCCGCAAGGGAGGAAGCGUCCUAAGGUAGGGUCAGCGAUUGGGGUGAAGUCGUAACAAGGUACC
RNAcentral lists this ribosomal RNA (214 nucleotides) under uncultured bacterium. RNAcentral's name for it is "partial 16S ribosomal RNA". It matches the Rfam family "Bacterial small subunit ribosomal RNA", at positions 1289 to 1500 of the family's 1533-position model. The record is from RNAcentral.